GGAGUUUGGGCCGUGUCUCAGUCCCAAUGUGGCCGUUCACCCUCUCAGGCCGGCUACUGAUCGUCGACUUGGUGAGCCGUUACCUCAUCAACUAUCUAAUCAGACGCGGGUCCAUCUUACACCGAUAAAUCUUUGGCACAAAAGGGAUGCCCCUCCCGUGCGUCAUGCGGUAUUAGCAGCCGUUUCCGGCUGUUGUCCCCCCUCUUCAAGGCAGGUUCCUCACGCGUUACUCACCCGUCCGCCACUUUCCUCCGCUUCCAUUGUCCGAAAACUCUUUCCACGGAUUCUCGUUCGACUUGCAUGUGUUAAGCACGCCGCCAGCGUUCGUCCUGAGCCAGGAUCAAACUACU
This 350-nucleotide ribosomal RNA is filed under the name uncultured Oscillospira sp. Its description in RNAcentral is "partial 16S ribosomal RNA". Lineage: Bacteria; Bacillati; Bacillota; Clostridia; Eubacteriales; Oscillospiraceae. The record is from RNAcentral.